This 2628-nucleotide ribosomal RNA is filed under the name Triticum aestivum (bread wheat). RNAcentral describes it as "partial small subunit ribosomal RNA". Lineage: Eukaryota; Viridiplantae; Streptophyta; Magnoliopsida; Poales; Poaceae. The record is from RNAcentral.
AUGGCGCGAGGCGUGGCGGCAGCGGUGGCGGCGUUGGGGGUCGUGGCGGUGCUCUUGACCGCCGCCGCGGCGAAGGUCUGCACGAACACGUUCCCGUCGUCGGAUUCGGUGGCGACCCACGCGGAGCGCGCGGCGGGGCAGCUGCGGCUGCCUGCCGGCCCCGCCGCCCGUGGCCACGGGCACGGGCACGACCACGAGCAGCACCUCACCCCGACCGACGAGUCCGCCUGGAUGGAGCUCAUGCCGCGGAGGCUCCUAGGCGGCGGCGGCGGCAGCACCCCGCCGCGCGAGGCGUUCGACUGGCUGAUGCUCUAUCGCAAGCUCCGGGGCGGCGGCGCCGCCGCCGUGGACGGCCCCGCGGGUCCGUUCCUCUCGGAGGCGUCGCUGCACGACGUGCGGCUCCAGCCGGGGACCGUGUACUGGCAGGCCCAGCAGACCAACCUGGAGUACCUGCUCCUCCUGGACGCCGACCGCCUCGUCUGGAGCUUCCGCACGCAGGCCGGCCUGACGGCGACCGGCACGCCCUACGGCGGGUGGGAGGGGCCCAACGUCGAGCUCCGGGGACACUUCGUCGGGCACUACCUGAGCGCCACGGCCAAGAUGUGGGCGAGUACGCACAAUGACACCCUCCGUGCCAAGAUGUCGUCCGUCGUCGACGUGCUAUACGACUGCCAGAAGAAGAUGGGCACAGGGUACCUGUCGGCCUUCCCGUCGGAGUUCUUCGACCGCGCUGAGGCCCUCACUACUGUUUGGGCUCCUUACUACACAAUUCACAAGAUUAUGCAAGGGCUUCUUGAUCAGUAUACAGUGGCUGGAAACUCCAAGGCCCUUGAGAUGGUUGUGGAGAUGGCUAACUACUUCAGUGACCGGGUGAAGAAUGUCAUUCAGAAAUACAGCAUCGAGAGGCACUGGGCAUCGCUCAAUGAGGAGACUGGGGGCAUGAAUGACGUGCUAUACCAGCUCUACACAAUAACGGAUGAUCUGAAGCAUUUGACUCUGGCCCACCUCUUUGACAAACCGUGCUUUCUCGGUCUGCUUGCAGUCCAGGCUGACAGUAUUUCAGGCUUCCAUUCCAAUACGCACAUUCCAGUUGUCGUUGGUGCGCAAAUGAGAUAUGAAGUUACCGGCGAUGUUAUUUACAAGCAAAUUGCAACAUCCUUUAUGGACAUGAUAAAUUCUUCUCAUAGCUACGCAACUGGUGGGACAUCUGCCGGCGAAUUCUGGUCUGAUCCAAAGCGUUUAGCUGCGACUCUGAGUGCUGAAAACGCGGAAUCUUGCACUACCUACAAUAUGCUCAAGGUUUCCCGCAACUUAUUCAGAUGGACAAAGGAAAUAGCAUAUGCGGACUAUUAUGAAAGGGCACUGAUAAAUGGUGUGUUAAGCAUCCAGAGAGGGACGGAUCCCGGAGUGAUGAUUUACAUGCUACCCCAGGCACCUGGACGGUCUAAAGCAGUAAGCUAUCAUGGAUGGGGAACCAAGUAUGAUUCGUUCUGGUGCUGCUAUGGAACAGGGAUCGAAUCCUUUUCGAAACUUGGCGACUCUAUUUACUUUGAGGAGAAAGGAGAGACACCAGCACUCAGCAUCAUUCAGUACAUACCAAGCACUUUCAACUGGAAAACAGCCGGGGUUACUGUAACCCAAGAACUCGAGCCCCUCAGUUCCUUGGAUAUGAACCUUCAAGUUUCGCUCUCCUUUUCUGGAAAGAAUGGUCAGUCUGCUACAUUGAAUGUGAGAAUACCAACAUGGACAUCUGCCAGUGGUGCGAAAGCAACUUUAAAUGGCAAAGAUUUGGGAUCAGUAACUCCAGGCUCUUUACUCUCAGUCACCAAACAGUGGAACUCAAAUGAUCACUUAUCACUGCAAUUCCCAAUUGCCCUAAGGACCGAAGCAAUCAAAGAUGACCGGCCGGAGUAUGCAUCUCUUCUAGCAAUUCUAUUCGGGCCAUUCGUUCUUGCGGGUCUCUCCUCCGGUGAUUGGGAUGCAAAAACUGGCAGUGCUGUUUCAGAUUGGAUCACUGCAGUUCCUUCGUCGCACAACUCACAGCUGAUGACCUUCACACAAGAAUCAAGUGGGAAGACAUUCGUCCUGUCAAGCUCAAACAGCUCCCUGACAAUGCAAGAACGGCCUGCAGUCGAUGGCACAGACACCGCCGUCCACGCGACAUUCAGGGUGCAUCCUCAGGACGCAGCAAGGCUGCACGGCACCCACGGCGCAGCCCUGGAAGACACCUCUGUGCAGAUCGAGCCAUUCGACAUGCCAGGAACGGUGAUCACCAACGACCUCACCUUGUCCGCACAAAAGAGCGCCGGUUCCUUCUUCAACAUCGUACCCGGGCUCGACGGGAAGCCAAACUCGGUUUCGCUCGAGCUCGGGACCAAACCAGGGUGCUUCUUGGUGUCUGGGGCAGAUUACUCUGCCGGGACAAAGAUCCAGGUCAGCUGCAAGAGUUCUGUCCAGAGCAUCGGCGGGAUACUCGAGCAGGCGGCAAGCUUUGCACAGGCCGCUCCGCUGAGGCAGUACCACCCAAUAAGCUUCGUCGCCAAGGGGGUGAAGAGGAACUUCCUCCUGGAGCCGUUGUACAGCCUGAGGGACGAAUUCUACACGGUUUACUUCAACCUUGCGGCCUGA